CCUUUUGGGGCCAUUGGCGUAGAGAGGGGGGAUCCGAUUUUCGGAUCGGCGCCGAAGGCGCCCAACCCUACUCGAUUUUUAUGAAAAACCACUCUUUUUAUUAGGAUUACUGGCUAAAACCGUACAAGUAAGGUAGUUUGGUUGGGGCGACCGCCUUCGAAAAAGUAUCGAAGGCGUACAUAAGAUUAAUCCGGGGGGGGUGUCCUUUUUUCACCCCCAAACAAACCGGGGGUAAUGCCCCAAAAAAGAUUAGUUUGACUGAGAGGGCUACAACCCGAACAGGCGCUUUUAGGU
This 294-nucleotide ribosomal RNA is filed under the name Placozoan sp. JM511. RNAcentral's name for it is "partial 16S ribosomal RNA". The record is from RNAcentral. Lineage: Eukaryota; Metazoa; Placozoa.